UACAGAGGGUGCGAGCGUUGUCCGGAAUCACUGGGCGUAAAGGGCGCGUAGGCGGCCUGGUAAGCGUGUGGUGAAAUCUCUGGGCUCAACUCAGAGUCUGCCAUAGAAACUGUAGUGCUAGAGUGUGGGAGAGGUGAGUGGAAUUCCCGGUGUAGCGGUGAAAUGCGUAGAUAUCGGGGGGAACACCUGUGGCGAAAGCGGCUCACUGGACCACAACUGACGCUGAGGCGCGAAAGCUAGGGGAGCAAACAGG
This 253-nucleotide ribosomal RNA is filed under the name uncultured bacterium. RNAcentral's name for it is "partial 16S ribosomal RNA". It matches the Rfam family "Bacterial small subunit ribosomal RNA", at positions 524 to 776 of the family's 1533-position model. The record is from RNAcentral.